Kogia breviceps (pygmy sperm whale) is the source of this 212-nucleotide non-coding RNA. The record is from RefSeq and is a predicted model, not a curated record. NCBI's taxonomy places the organism in Eukaryota, Metazoa, Chordata, Mammalia, Artiodactyla, Physeteridae.
AGAACAGUGAAUAAAGGAUAGAUUUCAACCUGGCAGGACACAAAUAUGAGUUUGCCAAGUAAAUUCUAACUUUGGGGUACUUUAGAGGUCCUCUGAGGCAUCCUGAAGAGAAAUAUUUAACUAAGAUUAUCUGCCUACUCAAAGAUGUGGUGAAGUUACUCUAAAGCAUGCUCUGGAGCCAGACGCCCUUCCAGCCAACCAGCCAAAAGUUC